Molecule: unclassified non-coding RNA, 25 nt
Filed under: Mus musculus (house mouse)
Lineage: Eukaryota; Metazoa; Chordata; Mammalia; Rodentia; Muridae
Description: oocyte_clustered_small_RNA1639
Source: RNAcentral
UUUCCAGCAGCAGCCUCAAAAGUUC